RNAcentral lists this ribosomal RNA (435 nucleotides) under uncultured bacterium. RNAcentral's name for it is "partial 16S ribosomal RNA". It matches the Rfam family "Bacterial small subunit ribosomal RNA", at positions 28 to 507 of the family's 1533-position model. The record is from RNAcentral.
GAUGAACGCUGGCGGUAUGCUUAACACAUGCAAGUCGAACGGACUCUUCGGAGUUAGUGGCGGACGGGUGAGUAACGCGUGAGAAUCUGGCUUUGGGUUCGGGACAACCACUGGAAACGGUGGCUAAUACCGGAUGUGCCGAGAGGUAAAAGAGAAAUUGCCUGAAGAUGAGCUCGCGUCUGAUUAGCUAGUUGGUGAGGUAAAGGCUCACCAAGGCAGCGAUCAGUAGCUGGUCUGAGAGGAUGACCAGCCACACUGGGACUGAGACACGGCCCAGACGCCUACGGGAGGCAGCAGUGGGGAAUUUUCCGCAAUGGGCGAAAGCCUGACGGAGCCAUACCGCGUGAGGGAAGAAGGCUCUUGGGUUGUAAACCUCUUUUCUUAGGGAAGAACAAAAUGACGGUACCUAAGGAAUCAGCAUCGGCUAACUCCGUG